UGUGCUGACGUUGCUUCCAGAGGCAGUUUGGAACUCUGUGAAAGCCCAAAAGGGACAGAACCAGGAAAACCAAGGAGGACCAGGUGAGCCGACCGCUCCCAAGAAGAAGAAAGGAUUCCUGCCCGAGACCAA
Coregonus clupeaformis (lake whitefish) is the source of this 132-nucleotide long non-coding RNA. RefSeq lists it as uncharacterized. The record is from RefSeq and is a predicted model, not a curated record. The transcript has 2 exons. Lineage: Eukaryota; Metazoa; Chordata; Actinopteri; Salmoniformes; Salmonidae.